Molecule: small RNA, 22 nt
Filed under: Arabidopsis thaliana (thale cress)
Lineage: Eukaryota; Viridiplantae; Streptophyta; Magnoliopsida; Brassicales; Brassicaceae
Description: Ath_wt_19228
Source: RNAcentral
ACCAAGCGCGGGUAAACGGCGG